This 296-nucleotide ribosomal RNA is filed under the name uncultured bacterium. RNAcentral's name for it is "partial 16S ribosomal RNA". It matches the Rfam family "Bacterial small subunit ribosomal RNA", at positions 9 to 286 of the family's 1533-position model. The record is from RNAcentral.
GAGUUUGAUCUUGGCUCAGGAUGAACGCUGGCGGCGUGCUUAACACAUGCAAGUCGAACGGGGAAUGCUUUGACAGAGACUUCGGUUGAAGUCGUUGUAUUCCUAGUGGCGGACGGGUGAGUAACGCGUGGGUAACCUGCCCCACACAGGGGGAUAACAACCAGAAAUGGCUGCUAAUACCGCAUAAGCGCACAGGGCCGCAUGGCCAUGUGUGAAAAACUCCGGUGGUGUGGGAUGGGCCCGCGUUGGAUUAGCCAGUUGGCAGGGUAACGGCCUACCAAAGCGACGAUCCAUAG